UGUCAGGCCAACUCAGACUGACUGCUCUUAGGUCAGGCUUCUAUACCUGGACCAACUAGUUACCUGUGGUCCAGGAGGUAUUCCAGUGAAUAUUUGCUGAAUUUUAAUUUAGAUUGAAUGCAAUUCAGAAGACUGAGGCUUUCCAAAUUUCAAACCUCCUGAGAAAGUUCUUAAUAGGAAUGCUGGGUCACCAUGAAGCACAAUGUGACAUUGACCACAGAAGUGCCUACUUGAUCAACAAAACUACCCAGGUCCUUCAGUUAAAUACCUAGGAAGGAAAUAUUUCCUGGGUGCCAACUACGGGCAAGUGUUUAUGUUACAUAUAGGAGAAGAAUACAAAGAAGAAGAAGAGGAAGGAGGAGGAGAGGAGAGGAAGGAGGAUGAGGA
This is a long non-coding RNA of Mustela erminea (ermine), 387 nucleotides long. RefSeq lists it as uncharacterized. The transcript has 4 exons. Lineage: Eukaryota; Metazoa; Chordata; Mammalia; Carnivora; Mustelidae. The record is from RefSeq and is a predicted model, not a curated record.